Malus domestica (apple) is the source of this 1443-nucleotide long non-coding RNA. RefSeq lists it as uncharacterized. The record is from RefSeq and is a predicted model, not a curated record. Lineage: Eukaryota; Viridiplantae; Streptophyta; Magnoliopsida; Rosales; Rosaceae.
UCUGACCUGUUUAAACCACAAAUUUACGCACUCCUGCCUCUCACCCCGCCUAACGCUAACUCCCUGCAAUCAAUCUCUCUCGCGCAAACUAUCUAAGCCAUGGCAUCCGAAUCCGACUUGGGAUCGGCAUAUGGAGAGGGGCAGAAUCCAGCCCGACCGGCGAAGGAAGUGCUUGAUGAGGAGAAUAAUCUUAGAAAAGAAAAACAGAAAGUUGUACCAAAGGAUGUCGAAGACUCAAUGACUCAACUCCAACUGGACAAAUGACGGCCAUGGUGCUUCUAGGCUUUGUAGAGUUUGCUGUAAGAAGAAGAAGCACUUCAGUCACAAUUGCCCGUACCUGACGCAUGUCCCACAUGGUGCUACUGUUGGCCCUGGCUAUGACAUAGUUUGCAAGUGUUGUAAUCAGCUUAAUGGCCACCCUGGGCGCUACUGGGAAGGGCGUGCUGUUGUCAUGUUUUGCGCUUGUUGUAUGACUAUGGGUCAACACCCGUACGAGAAGUGCCCGUAUCGUCCCAAGGACAGAGCACCAUUUGUGCCUCGCACGGUGGUUGUGUGGUCAACCUUGGACACAACACCAUAUGAGUCUUCUGUACCUGACGUUUACUAGGAUUAAGAUCGAUUUUGUCAGUGUUUGUCUGAAGGACUAAAAAAAAUCCAAAGCUAAAUAAAGUGAUUAUUAAUUUGAUGACAUGUAAUUUAGAAAAACGGAAAUCUUUUUUUUUUUUUGGUCAUUAUAAAAUUCAUUACCACAACAACAAAGAUACAAAAAGAGGUCCAAAUACAUUGAAAGCACUAUACUAAAAAAUGGACCCAAAGCACCACUAAAACAGAGCCAAACCCAAAAGAUAGAGUCCAAAAUAUACAGACAAAAAGCAAAAAACCCUAGCAACUCUGCCGCCGCUGAAGCACAAACCAACGCCAGAUGCAGGCCGAGAACCAACCAAACAAAGACUCCAAAAUGGAAAAGAAGAACAUUCCACCCUCCAUCACCGAGCACCACAAAGUCCAAGUCCGCAACAAACAAGUAAAGGUAGCCAGUGGAAAAAACUUCCCGCAAGCAACAGUGCAAAUUGCACAUAGAUGGAAGGUGGUGUGUGACCACCCAAGCAACAAGCCAGAGUUGGAGCUCGACACACCUUCCGAGAUGGCCGCAAACCAAAAUCCAGAAUAAACAUCUGUAGUAUGUUGAGAGCGUACGGGAACUCUUAGGUAAGGCUGCCACGACAGAGAGACCAGACCAGGGGAUGGAGGGACCAGAAACUCCGAGGGAUCGAUCUUAAUAAUGCCAUCGAUCACAUCUCCAAGCCAAUUUUAUCUAUUUAGCGUUGGAUUUUCUUUUUAGCUCAAGUCAAGUGCAUGGAAAUUAACAUUCAUCAUGGGAUGCCAUGCAUUCCAGUUAAAUUCAAACUCAUGUUUUUAAUGUCAAUUGUCCCUCUUAUGCAA